CGUAGGGUGCGAGCGUUAAUCGGAAUUACUGGGCGUAAAGUGUGCGCAGGUGGCUGAGCAAGUCGAGUGUGAAAUCCCCGGGCUUAACUUGGGAAUUGCGCUCGAAACUACUUGGCUCGAGUGUGGCAGAGGAAGGUGGAAUUCCAGGUGUAGCGGUGAAACGCGUAGAGAUCUGGAGGAACACCGAUGGCGAAGGCAGCCUUCUGGGCCAACACUGACGCUCAUGCACGAAAGCGUGGGGAGCAAACAGGAUUAGAUACCCUGGUAGUCCACGCCCUAAACGAUGAUGACUAGUUGUUGGGGGAGUUAAAUCCCUUAGUAACGCAGCUAACGCGUGAAGUCAUCCGCCUGGGGAGUACGGUCGCAAGAUUA
Molecule: ribosomal RNA, 372 nt
Filed under: uncultured organism
Description: bacterial SSU rRNA
Rfam family: Bacterial small subunit ribosomal RNA
Source: RNAcentral